RNAcentral lists this ribosomal RNA (433 nucleotides) under uncultured bacterium. RNAcentral's name for it is "partial 16S ribosomal RNA". It matches the Rfam family "Bacterial small subunit ribosomal RNA", at positions 29 to 507 of the family's 1533-position model. The record is from RNAcentral.
AACGAACGCUGGCGGCAUGCCUAACACAUGCAAGUCGAACGAGACCUUCGGGUCUAGUGGCGCACGGGUGCGUAACGCGUGGGAACCUGCCCUUAGGUUCGGAAUAACUCCCCGAAAGGGGUGCUAAUACCGGAUAAUGUCUUCGGACCAAAGAUUUAUCGCCUUUGGAUGGGCCCGCGUUGGAUUAGCUAGUUGGUAGGGUAAAAGCCUACCAAGGCGACGAUCCAUAGCUGGUCUGAGAGGAUGAUCAGCCACACUGGGACUGAGACACGGCCCAGACUCCUACGGGAGGCAGCAGUGGGGAAGAUUGGACAAUGGGCGAAUGCCUGAGCCAGCAAUGCCGCGGGAGUGAUGAAGGCCUUAGGGUUGUAAAGCUCUUUUACCCGGGAUGAUAAUGACAGUACCGGGAGAAUAAGCCCCGGCUAACUUCGUG